MicroRNA precursor from Cercocebus atys (sooty mangabey), 95 nucleotides. Lineage: Eukaryota; Metazoa; Chordata; Mammalia; Primates; Cercopithecidae. The record is from Ensembl.
GCUGUUGAGGCUGUACAGCCAGGACCUGACGGUGGGGUGGCUGCGGGCCUUCUGCAGGUCUCCCACGUUGUGGCCCAGCAGCGCAGUCACGUUGC